UGGCUCUGGCAUCGAUGAAGAACGCAGCGAAAUGCGAUAAGUAUUGUGAAUUGCAGAAUCCAGUGAAUCAUCGAAUCUUUGAACGCACAUUGCGCCCGCCGGCAUUCCGGCGGGCAUGCCCGUUCGAGCGUCAUUUCAACCCUCAGUGCCACCCUUCCUUGGAGGGGCCGGCGCCGGUGUUGAGGCGUCCUCGGGCGCGGCCGGGCCCCUUGGGUCCAGUCGCCGCCGGGGGAGGCCUUCAAAUCGAUAGGCGGGUCUCUCAGGGCUCUCGGCGCAGUAAAUAUGCUAUCGCCAGGGGUUUUUCUGGGGGGUUCCCUGGCCUCUAAACCGUUCAGCCGAACACUUUUAAAGGUUGACCUCGGAUCAGGUAGGAAUACCCGCUGA
Molecule: unclassified non-coding RNA, 384 nt
Filed under: uncultured fungus
Lineage: Eukaryota; Fungi
Description: partial contains 5.8S ribosomal RNA and internal transcribed spacer 2
Rfam family: 5.8S ribosomal RNA (bases 1-133)
Source: RNAcentral